Long non-coding RNA from Papaver somniferum (opium poppy), 3172 nucleotides. RefSeq lists it as uncharacterized. Lineage: Eukaryota; Viridiplantae; Streptophyta; Magnoliopsida; Ranunculales; Papaveraceae. The transcript has 2 exons. The record is from RefSeq and is a predicted model, not a curated record.
AAUGGCUUCUAUUUCUUCCAACCCCAUAAACUUGUUUCAUCAAAUCAAGAUUUGGGUUCACUUAAAAUCAAUCAAUUAUUAACACUCACUUGAUAAAAUCAUCUCCCCUGUCUGAAAAGAAAAAAAUCUGUUGUUUGUAAACGCAAUUUCUGUGGAACUAUCAACUGAAAUUGGAGAAGAUAUUUCUCAGGUAUAUGUUUCAACACUCUAAUGAUUAAUUCAAGUGAAUAUCAAUCUGGGUUUUGUUUCAGUUUACUGAUUUCGGAGUAAAAUUGGAAUUUUUACUGGUUUUGUGAAUUCCUUCAGUAGAACUUUGUCUCAUAAGUGUAAUUUUUUUUCUCUUCUAUUUCUGUGAUUACUGUACUGAUUUUGAUUUCCAGUUUAAUUGGUAUUUUAAUUGAAGAAGAGGUUGAAUCUAUACUUGAUGUACCAUAUAAACAGUAUUGUAGUUAGUUCUUAUUAGAUCAACUUCAAUAGUUGAAUUGAUUGAGUAAACCUUAAGCUGAGAAUAGUUCUUAUUAACAUACCCUUUCAAUUUUGAGGUUGAAUCCAUUAUUUCACUCCAAUUUAAUUUCUUAUACUAACAACAGUUUGCUAAUUCAAGUUCAGCUGUUAGGCCAAGUUCAUUUAGCUGCUGUAUAAGUGAAUUUAUCUGUCAACUGAAUUAUUGAACCUGAAGUUUGAUCCAGGCCUUUUUGUUUCACCAAUCACCAAGCAUAAAAUGUUCGAGUGAUAUGACAGGAAGAGGUUCACUUUCUAUUUUGAUUUUCUUAUCACUCCUAAUCUCAAGAAAGUUAUUCACAUAUGGUGCGACUUCAACUUCGGUGGGUUAAUUUUUUUGAUUGAAUCUUGUUUACUCUAUGUACAAAUAAAUUCGGUUGAAGGUUUGUUCAACAACUAGGGGCUUUUCUCUUUGAUCUCUGCCUUGUUUUUUUUUUCCCGACUGAUGAUAACCUAAACUUUUUCUUGAUUGUCUACUUCGGAUAAAAGUAGUAGGGUGUCAAAAAAUUUAUAGCUGUGGAUGCUUUCCACCGUUUCAGUUGGCAAAGAACUCUUGGACCGCUUAUGAGUCACUCACAGUACUGCGUUUAUAGCCAUUCUACAACAUUGCUCUACAUCUAUCUGCAACGAUGUAUGCAACAUAUCUGAAUUAAUUGGUGUCUUAUAUCAAAGUCACUCUAUGUCAAGUUGAGAACCUUGAUGUGUGAUUGUAUUGCAUUACCACAUCACUGCAUAUGUUCUUGACUAUUGGCUUCUUUUGUUAGUUACAGACCUUUCAGAGUUCAAUCUCCAUGUUUCACUUCCGAGUAGAAACUUCAUGGGAUCAAGAGCUAGAACUGCGCAUUCGGAUUCAGAAGGUCCACCUUCAAGCUUUUUAGCAUACAGUAACCUUAUACUAAGUAAUACUGUUAGUCUGUGAUGACUGCAAAUAGGUCACAACUGCCCAAUUACCAUCUACUUAUGCAGGUGCAGGUGCAAGUGCAGCUGACUUGUAUGAUCCUGAUCAGCCUCCGAGGAAUAAUACCUGCACUGAAACAUCUAGUAAAAUACACCUCACCCCAGAAUUCUUUACACACUUUCCCCAAAAGAGAACAAGAUAUAACCCCACCCCUUCUUUCGCAUUUUCAGAAAUUUGUAGUAGAUGACAUUUCUACAACUGAUAGAAAAGUAGCCUACAUUCAGUUUUUGAAGAGAGAAGCAGGAGAAACUGCAAUAAGUUCACCUGAUGCUGUGAUGCAGUAUUGGGUAAGCGUUUAAUCUGGUUAUCAUGAGCUACAGAGAUAUAUUUCUCGAACUUGAUGAAAGCAGUUCCUAUACUCCUCGCCCAGACACCUCUAGAUAAUAGGAAAAAAGAUCUCACGUCUGCACUGCAAGAGGUUAAUGACGCUCCUGUCUCUGAUAUUUGUGCUUGCCUCUUCUUCCCAAAAGAAUAUAGAAGGUUCAGAAAUUUUCACUAAGGAGCCUCAACCACAGCAGGAGCUUAUUGACCAAAACCAGAGUGACUUCAAACCUGUAGCAGGAACAAGUUAUAACAAUCAAGACUGAAAGCAACUAAUGAAAAAAAGUUGUUGAGAUACAUGAAGUGGGUUCACAGUAAAACAAGGGACCCCUCCCAUCUUGCAUCUUCACUACCCAUAACAAUACUCUCAUUCAAGUGGGUCUAGUUCCAGAACUGGCUGGAUGGGCGUCAAGGUUCGGAUGCCUAACUGAAGCAUUUACCUUUUCUCCAACCUUGGCAUCCCGCUUGGAGCAAAAGCUGAAUCAAAAUAAUUAUGGAAUCCUGUGAUCGAGAAGUUUAAGCACAGAUAGCCCUCGUGGAAGAAGAGCUUCUUGACAAAGCGUGGGAGUAUAACUUUAGUAAAGCGGUACUCUCCAAUUCGUAACUUACUAUUCUCGGUAUAUAAAGCUCCUAAGUCAGUUAUAGAAUCUCUGGAAAUAUCACAUUUAGGAUGAUGAAAGAAGCUGGUCUUUUCACUUCAAAAGAGUCUUAAAAGAUGUUGAGCUUGAUCAACUAAUGUCCAUGCUUGUUCUCAUUGACCUCUCUCCAACAGUCCAAUCGGACCAGCCUGAUUCCAGGUCAUGGGUCCCCUAUCCUUCAGGUCUAUUCUCUGUCAAAUCCACCUACAAUUCAAUUAUGGUUCCUACUGCAGUUAUCCCUGCACCUUUUAUUGGACUGCAUCCCUAGAAAAAAUUCUCACUCAAGAAAUUCAUGCUUGCUAGCAGAUGUGAUUAAGCAGAACACUUUCCCUUGAAAUGGCAAUUCUCCAGGAAAGUCUGGUUUUUAAUUUUACCCAAUCACAUCCCAUGGAAGCCACCUCAGUCUCCUUCAACUUGCUAUUUUUUGGUCUUGUCAAGGCCCUGAUAUCAAGAUUUAGGAACUGGUUCCUGCAGCAGUCAUUUGGGCUAUCUGGACUGAGUGUAACAGAAAAAUCUUUCAAGAUAAAGCUAUAUCCUAUUUCGAAAUCAAUGUUGAGAUCAAGGAAACCCUUCAGCAAGGAGUUCUGCCUUCAAAACAAGCUUACUGACUGGACUGGUGCAUUUUCUCUUGGCAGCAUUUGCUAGCAAAGCGAUGUCAACUAACACAAGCUGAACGAAAAUAGAGUUACUCGGGUUUUAUUCUUGCUUUUCAACUUUCACUUUAGGAUAAUUAUGAACAGUAAAUUUGUUUGAA